AGAGUUUGAUCCUGGCUCAGGAUGAACGCUGGCGGCGUGCCUAAUACAUGCAAGUCGAGCGAACGGACGAGAAGCUUGCUUCUCUGAUGUUAGCGGCGGACGGGUGAGUAACACGUGGAUAACCUGCCUAUAAGACUGGGAUAACUUCGGGAAACCGGAGCUAAUACCGGAUAAUAUUUUGAACCGCAUGGUUCAAAAGUGAAAGACGGUCUUGCUGUCACUUAUAGAUGGAUCCGCGCUGCAUUAGCUAGUUGGUAAGGUAACGGCUUACCAAGGCAACGAUGCAUAGCCGACCUGAGAGGGUGAUCGGCCACACUGGAACUGAGACACGGUCCAGACUCCUACGGGAGGCAGCAGUAGGGAAUCUUCCGCAAUGGGCGAAAGCCUGACGGAGCAACGCCGCGUGAGUGAUGAAGGUCUUCGGAUCGUAAAACUCUGUUAUUAGGGAAGAACAUAUGUGUAAGUAACUGUGCACAUCUUGACGGUACCUAAUCAGAAAGCCACGGCUAACUACGUGCCAGCAGCCGCGGUAAUACGUAGGUGGCAAGCGUUAUCCGGAAUUAUUGGGCGUAAAGCGCGCGUAGGCGGUUUUUUAAGUCUGAUGUGAAAGCCCACGGCUCAACCGUGGAGGGUCAUUGGAAACUGGAAAACUUGAGUGCAGAAGAGGAAAGUGGAAUUCCAUGUGUAGCGGUGAAAUGCGCAGAGAUAUGGAGGAACACCAGUGGCGAAGGCGACUUUCUGGUCUGUAACUGACGCUGAUGUGCGAAAGCGUGGGGAUCAAACAGGAUUAGAUACCCUGGUAGUCCACGCCGUAAACGAUGAGUGCUAAGUGUUAGGGGGUUUCCGCCCCUUAGUGCUGCAGCUAACGCAUUAAGCACUCCGCCUGGGGAGUACGACCGCAAGGUUGAAACUCAAAGGAAUUGACGGGGACCCGCACAAGCGGUGGAGCAUGUGGUUUAAUUCGAAGCAACGCGAAGAACCUUACCAAAUCUUGACAUCCUUUGACAACUCUAGAGAUAGAGCCUUCCCCUUCGGGGGACAAAGUGACAGGUGGUGCAUGGUUGUCGUCAGCUCGUGUCGUGAGAUGUUGGGUUAAGUCCCGCAACGAGCGCAACCCUUAAGCUUAGUUGCCAUCAUUAAGUUGGGCACUCUAAGUUGACUGCCGGUGACAAACCGGAGGAAGGUGGGGAUGACGUCAAAUCAUCAUGCCCCUUAUGAUUUGGGCUACACACGUGCUACAAUGGACAAUACAAAGGGCAGCGAAACCGCGAGGUCAAGCAAAUCCCAUAAAGUUGUUCUCAGUUCGGAUUGUAGUCUGCAACUCGACUACAUGAAGCUGGAAUCGCUAGUAAUCGUAGAUCAGCAUGCUACGGUGAAUACGUUCCCGGGUCUUGUACACACCGCCCGUCACACCACGAGAGUUUGUAACACCCGAAGCCGGUGGAGUAACCUUUUAGGAGCUAGCCGUCGAAGGUGGGACAAAUGAUUGGGGUGAAGUCGUAACAAGGUAGCCGUAUCGGAAGGUGCGGCUGGAUCACCU
Molecule: ribosomal RNA, 1540 nt
Filed under: Staphylococcus aureus SJUD6111
Lineage: Bacteria; Bacillati; Bacillota; Bacilli; Caryophanales; Staphylococcaceae
Also listed under: 2 other names
Description: 16S ribosomal RNA
Rfam family: Bacterial small subunit ribosomal RNA
Source: RNAcentral